This 561-nucleotide ribosomal RNA is filed under the name uncultured archaeon. RNAcentral describes it as "bacterial SSU rRNA". It matches the Rfam family "Archaeal small subunit ribosomal RNA", at positions 333 to 900 of the family's 1478-position model. The record is from RNAcentral.
CACCAGGCGCGAAAACUCUACAAUGCAGGCAACUGCGAUAGGGGGACAUCGAGUGGCAUCCACCUUGGGUGCCUGUCCCACCGUCUAAAAAACGGUGGUUAGCAAGGGCCGGGCAAGACCGGUGCCAGCCGCCGCGGUAAUACCGGCGGCUCGAGUGGUGGCCGAUAUUAUUGAGUCUAAAGGGUCCGUAGCCGGCUUUGCAAGUCCCCUGGGAAAUCCAGCGGCUUAACCGUUGGGCUUUCAUGGGAUACUACAUUGCUUGGGACUGGGAGAGGUAGGAGGUACUCGGGGGGUAGGGGUGAAAUCCUGUAAUCCCCCGGGGACCACCGGUGGCGAAGGCGUCCUACCAGAACAGGUCCGACGGUGAGGGACGAAAGCUAGGGGCACGAACCGGAUUAGAUACCCGGGUAGUCCUAGCCGUAAACGAUGCCCGCUAGGUGUCACGGCGGUCGUGAAUCGCCGUGGUGCCGUAGGGAAGCCGCGAAGCGGGCCACUUGGGAAGUACGGCCGCAAGGCUGAAACUUAAAGGAAUUGGCGGGGGAGCACAAGGGCGAAUCGCGG